AUUGAACGCUGGCGGCAUGCCUUACACAUGCAAGUCGAACGGCAGCGCGGACUUCGGUCUGGCGGCGAGUGGCGAACGGGUGAGUAAUAUAUCGGAACGUACCCAGGAGUGGGGGAUAACGUAGCGAAAGUUACGCUAAUACCGCAUACGAUCUAAGGAUGAAAGCAGGGGACCGCAAGGCCUUGUGCUCCUGGAGCGGCCGAUAUCUGAUUAGCUAGUUGGUGGGGUAAAGGCCUACCAAGGCAUCGAGUCAGUAGCUGGUCUGAGAGGACGACCAGCCACACUGGGACUGAGACACGGCCCAGACUCCUACGGGAGGCAGCAGUGGGGAAUUUUGGACAAUGGGGGGCAACCCUGAUCCAGCAAUGCCGCGUGAGUGAAGAAGGCCUACGGGUUGUAAAGCUCUUUUGUCAGGGAAGAAACGGUUGGGGCUAAUAUCCCCGGCUAAUGACGGUACCUGAAGAAUAAGCACCGGCUAACUACGUGCCAGCAGCCGCGGUAAU
This 503-nucleotide ribosomal RNA is filed under the name uncultured bacterium. RNAcentral describes it as "bacterial SSU rRNA". It matches the Rfam family "Bacterial small subunit ribosomal RNA", at positions 30 to 524 of the family's 1533-position model. The record is from RNAcentral.